This is a non-coding RNA of Ramicandelaber brevisporus, 72 nucleotides long. The record is from the annotation of a GenBank genome assembly. NCBI's taxonomy places the organism in Eukaryota, Fungi, Kickxellomycota, Ramicandelaberales, Ramicandelaberaceae.
GGGGUAAUAGCGCAGUGGUAGCGCGUCUGCUUUGCAUGUAGAAGGGCCUGGGUUCAAUCCCCAGUUACUCCA